CACCGAAGCUGCGGCAGCGACACUAUGUGUUGUUGGGUAGGGGAGCGUUCUGUAAGCCUGUGAAGGUGUGUCGUGAGGCAUGCUGGAGGUAUCAGAAGUGCGAAUGCUGACAUAAGUAACGAUAAAGCGGGUGAAAAGCCCGCUCGCCGGAAGACCAAGGGUUCCUGUCCAACGUUAAUCGGGGCAGGGUGAGUCGACCCCUAAGGCGAGGCCGAAAGGCGUAGUCGAUGGGAAACGGGUUAAUAUUCCCGUACUUGGUGUUACUGCGAAGGGGGGACGGAGAAGGCUAUGUUGGCCGGGCGACGGUUGUCCCGGUUUAAGCGUGUAGGUGUGUGUUCCAGGUAAAUCCGGUUCACUUUAACACUGAGGCGUGACGACGAGGCACUACGGUGCUGAAGCAACAAAUGCCCUGCUUCCAGGAAAAGCCUCUAAGCAUCAGGUAACAUCAAAUCGUACCCCAAACCGACACAGGUGGUCAGGUAGAGAAUACCAAGGCGCUUGAGAGAACUCGGGUGAAGGAACUAGGCAAAAUGGUGCCGUAACUUCGGGAGAAGGCACGCUGACACGUAGGUGAAGUGAUUUACUCAUGGAGCUGAAGUCAGUCGAAGAUACCAGCUGGCUGCAACUGUUUAUUAAAAACACAGCACUGUGCAAACACGAAAGUGGACGUAUACGGUGUGACGCCUGCCCGGUGCCGGAAGGUUAAUUGAUGGGGUCAGCGCAAGCGAAGCUCCUGAUCGAAGCCCCGGUAAACGGCGGCCGUAACUAUAACGGUCCUAAGGUAGCGAAAUUCCUUGUCGGGUAAGUUCCGACCUGCACGAAUGGCGUAAUGAUGGCCAGGCUGUCUCCACCCGAGACUCAGUGAAAUUGAACUCGCUGUGAAGAUGCAGUGUACCCGCGGCAAGACGGAAAGACCCCGUGAACCUUUACUAUAGCUUGACACUGAACAUUGAGCCUUGAUGUGUAGGAUAGGUGGGAGGCUUUGAAGUGUGGACGCCAGUCUGCAUGGAGCCGACCUUGAAAUACCACCCUUUAAUGUUUGAUGUUCUAACGUGGACCCGUGAUCCGGGUUGCGGACAGUGUCUGGUGGGUAGUUUGACUGGGGCGGUCUCCUCCUAAAGAGUAACGGAGGAGCACGAAGGUUGGCUAAUCCUGGUCGGACAUCAGGAGGUUAGUGCAAUGGCAUAAGCCAGCUUGACUGCGAGCGUGACGGCGCGAGCAGGUGCGAAAGCAGGUCAUAGUGAUCCGGUGGUUCUGAAUGGAAGGGCCAUCGCUCAACGGAUAAAAGGUACUCCGGGGAUAACAGGCUGAUACCGCCCAAGAGUUCAUAUCGACGGCGGUGUUUGGCACCUCGAUGUCGGCUCAUCACAUCCUGGGGCUGAAGUAGGUCCCAAGGGUAUGGCUGUUCGCCAUUUAAAGUGGUACGCGAGCUGGGUUUAGAACGUCGUGAGACAGUUCGGUCCCUAUCUGCCGUGGGCGCUGGAGAACUGAGGGGGGCUGCUCCUAGUACGAGAGGACCGGAGUGGACGCAUCACUGGUGUUCGGGUUGUCAUGCCAAUGGCACUGCCCGGUAGCUAAAUGCGGAAGAGAUAAGUGCUGAAAGCAUCUAAGCACGAAACUUGCCCCGAG
This 1629-nucleotide ribosomal RNA is filed under the name Salmonella enterica. RNAcentral's name for it is "partial 23S ribosomal RNA". It matches the Rfam family "Bacterial large subunit ribosomal RNA", at positions 1192 to 2803 of the family's 2925-position model. Lineage: Bacteria; Pseudomonadati; Pseudomonadota; Gammaproteobacteria; Enterobacterales; Enterobacteriaceae. The record is from RNAcentral.